GGCCCCGUAGUGUAGCGGCCUAGCACGCUGCCCUCUCAAGGCGGUAACGCCGGUUCGAACCCGGUCGGGGCUAC
RNAcentral lists this transfer RNA (74 nucleotides) under Dermatophilus congolensis. Its description in RNAcentral is "tRNA-Glu(ctc)". It matches the Rfam family "tRNA". Rfam says of the family: Transfer RNA (tRNA) molecules are approximately 80 nucleotides in length. Their secondary structure includes four short double-helical elements and three loops (D, anti-codon, and T loops). Lineage: Bacteria; Bacillati; Actinomycetota; Actinomycetes; Micrococcales; Dermatophilaceae. The record is from RNAcentral.